UAAGCUGCCUGGCCUCUAGUUAUUCAGUUGGCAAGCAUUUAUUUGGUGCCUUCUAUGUGCCAGGCAUUGUGCU
RNAcentral lists this microRNA precursor (73 nucleotides) under Chlorocebus sabaeus (green monkey). RNAcentral describes it as "miRNA (ENSCSAG00000023980.1)". The record is from RNAcentral. Lineage: Eukaryota; Metazoa; Chordata; Mammalia; Primates; Cercopithecidae.